Molecule: ribosomal RNA, 301 nt
Filed under: uncultured bacterium
Lineage: Bacteria
Description: partial 16S ribosomal RNA
Rfam family: Bacterial small subunit ribosomal RNA
Source: RNAcentral
CAGCCGCCGCGGUAAUACGUGGGGGGCAAGCGUUAUCCGGAUUUACUGGGUGUAAAGGGAGCGUAGACGGAAUGGCAAGUCUGAAGUGAAAUGCCCGGGCCCAACCCGGGAACUGCUUUGGAAACUGUCGAUCUGGAGUGUUGGAGAGGUAAGUGGAAUUCCUGGUGUAGCGGUGAAAUGCGUAGAGAUCAGGAAGAACACUGGAGGCGAAGGCGGCUUACUGGACAAAGACUGACGUUGAGGCUCGAAAGCGUGGGAAGCAAACAGGAUUAGAUACCCCGGUAGUCCCUGUCUCUUAUAC